GGGGGACCUUCGGGCCUCUCGCGUCAGGAUAUGCCUAGGUGGGAUUAGCUAGUUGGUGAGGUAAGGGCUCACCAAGGCGACGAUCCCUAGCUGGUCUGAGAGGAUGAUCAGCCACACUGGAACUGAGACACGGUCCAGACUCCUACGGGAGGCAGCAGUGGGGAAUAUUGCACAAUGGGCGCAAGCCUGAUGCAGCCAUGCCGCGUGUGUGAAGAAGGCCUUCGGGUUGUAAAGCACUUUCAGUCGUGAGGAAGGUGGUAGUGUUAAUAGCACUAUCAUUUGACGUUAGCGACAGAAGAAGCACCGGCUAACUCCGUG
This 318-nucleotide ribosomal RNA is filed under the name Vibrio sp. enrichment culture clone 064. RNAcentral describes it as "bacterial SSU rRNA". It matches the Rfam family "Bacterial small subunit ribosomal RNA", at positions 202 to 507 of the family's 1533-position model. Lineage: Bacteria; Pseudomonadati; Pseudomonadota; Gammaproteobacteria; Vibrionales; Vibrionaceae. The record is from RNAcentral.